AGGAGCUCGCGUCUGAUUAGCUAGUUGGUGAGGUAAAAGCUCACCAAGGCAGCGAUCAGUAGCUGGUCUGAGAGGACGAUCAGCCACACUGGGACUGAGACACGGCCCAGACUCCUACGGGAGGCAGCAGUGGGGAAUUUUCCGCAAUGGGCGAAAGCCUGACGGAGCAAGACCGCGUGAGGGAGGAAGGCUCUUGGGUUGUAAACCUCUUUUCUCAGGGAAGAAGCUCUAACGGUACCUGAGGAAUCAGCCUCGGCUAACUCCGUGCCAGCAGCCGCGGUAAUACCGGAGGAGGCAAGCGUUAUCCGGAACUAUUGGGCGUAAAGCGUCCGCAAGGGGCACUUCAAGUCUGCUGUCAAAGGUCGGAGCUUAACUCCGGUUCGGCAGUGGAAACUGGAGCGCUAGAGGGCGACAGGGGUAAAGGGAAUUCCCAGUGUAGCGGUGAAAUGCGUAGAGAUUGGGAAGAACACCGGUGGCGAAAAGCGCUCUACUGGGUCGCACCUGACCCUCAGGGACGAAAGUUACGGUUAGCGAACGGGAUUAAGAAUACCCCUGUAGUCUUAGCCGAAAACGAUGGAUACUAGGCGUGGUUUGUAUCGACCCAAGCCAUGCCGAAGCUAACGCGUUAAGUAUCC
Molecule: ribosomal RNA, 635 nt
Filed under: uncultured organism
Description: bacterial SSU rRNA
Rfam family: Bacterial small subunit ribosomal RNA
Source: RNAcentral